GAGGAUAUAGCUCAGUGGUAGAGCACAUGCUUAGCAUGCAUGAAGUCCUGGGUUCAAUCCCCAGUACUUGCA
This 72-nucleotide transfer RNA is filed under the name Camelus bactrianus (Bactrian camel). It matches the Rfam family "tRNA". From Rfam's summary of the family: Transfer RNA (tRNA) molecules are approximately 80 nucleotides in length. Their secondary structure includes four short double-helical elements and three loops (D, anti-codon, and T loops). RNAcentral also lists the same sequence under 2 other names. Lineage: Eukaryota; Metazoa; Chordata; Mammalia; Artiodactyla; Camelidae. The record is from Rfam by way of RNAcentral.